RNAcentral lists this ribosomal RNA (396 nucleotides) under uncultured bacterium. Its description in RNAcentral is "partial 16S ribosomal RNA". It matches the Rfam family "Bacterial small subunit ribosomal RNA", at positions 523 to 918 of the family's 1533-position model. The record is from RNAcentral.
AUACGGAGGAUCCGAGCGUUAUCCGGAUUUACUGGGCGUAAAGGGCGUGUAGGCGGUCUUGCAAGUCAGAAGUGAAAUUCCUGAGCUCAACUCGGGCGCUGCUUCUGAAACUGCAGGACUUGAGUGCUGGAGGGGAUAGCGGAAUUCCUAGUGGAGCGGUAAAAUGCGCAGAUAUUAGGAAGAACACCGGUGGCGAAGGCGGCUAUCUGGACAGUAACUGACGCUGAGGCGCGAAAGCGUGGGGAGCAAACAGGAUGAAAUACCCUGGUAGUCCAUGCCGUAAACGAUGUCUACUAGCCGUUGGGGGAUUUGAUCCUUUAGUGGCGCAGCUAACGCGAUAAGUAGACCGCCUGGGGAGUACGGUCGCAAGACUAAAACUCAAAUGAAUUGGCGGGG